Molecule: ribosomal RNA, 1375 nt
Filed under: uncultured organism
Description: bacterial SSU rRNA
Rfam family: Bacterial small subunit ribosomal RNA
Source: RNAcentral
UGCAAGUCGCACGAGAAGCUUCCUUCGGGAAGUGGAGAGUGGCGGACGGGUGCGUAACGCGUAUCCAACCUGCCCUUCAGCGGGGAAUAACAUUGGGAAACCGAUGCUAAUACCGCAUAUAUUGUAAGCUGGGCAUCCAGUUAACAAGAAAGACGCGAGUCACUGAAGGAUGGGGAUGCGUUUGAUUAGCUAGUUGGAGAGGUAACGGCUCCCCAAGGCAACGAUCAAUAGCUGGUCUGAGAGGAUGAUCAGCCACACUGGCACUGAGACACGGGCCAGACUCCUACGGGAGGCAGCAGUAGGGAAUAUUGGGCAAUGGGCGCAAGCCUGACCCAGCCAUGCCGCGUGCGGGAAGACGGUCCACAGGAUUGUAAACCGCUUUUCUACGGGAAUAAGGACUUGGUAUCCAGGUUCUGCAGGUACCGUAGGAAUAAGCACCGGCAAACUACGUGCCAGCAGCCGCGGUAAUACGUAGGGUGCAAGCGUUGUCCGGAUUCACUGGGUUUAAAGGGUACGCAGGCGGCUUGGCCAGUCGGCGAUGAAAUAUCGGAGCUUAACUCCGGUGCUGUUGCCGAUACUGCCAGGCUAGAGCGUGGUUGAGGUAGCUGGAAUGGACGGUGUAGCGGUGAAAUGCGUAGAGAUCGUCUGGAACACCAAUUGUGAAGACAGGCUACUGGACCACAGCUGACGCUGAGGUACGAAAGCGUGGGGAGCGAACAGGAUUAGAUACCCUGGUAGUCCACGCUGUAAACGAUGAUUACUCGCUUUGUAUUCACUUGAGGAUACGAGGCUGAGCGAAAGCGUUAAGUAAUCCACCUGGGGAGUACGCUCGCAAGGGUGAAACUUCAAAGGGAAUUGACGGGGGCCCGCACAAGUGGUGGAGCAUUGUGGUUUAAUUCGAUGAUACGCGAAGGAACCUUACCUGGGCUAAAUCCAUACGGCCGCCGGGUGAAAGCCUGGUUUCCUACGGGACUGUAUGGAAGGUGCUGCAUGGCUGUCGUCAGCUCGUGCCGUGAGGUGUUGGGUUAAGUCCCGCAACGAGCGCAGCCCCUGUCGUCAGUUGCCAGCAGGUAAAGCUGGGGACUCUGACGAGACUGCCUUCGCAAGGAGUGAGGAAGGCGGGGACGACGUCAAGUCAUCAUGGCCCUUACGUCCAGGGCGACACACGUGCUACAAUGGAAGGUACAAUGGGCAGCGAGACCGCGAGGUGGAGCAAAUCUCAGAAAGCCUUUCUCAGUUCGGAUUGUAGUCUGCAACUCGACUGCAUGAAGCCGGAAUCACUAGUAAUCGCACAUCAGCCAUGGUGCGGUGAAUACGUACCCGGGCCUUGUACACACCGCCCGUCAAGCCAUGGAAGCUGGGGGCGCCUGAAGUC